GGGUUGUGAGGUUAAGCGACUAAGCGUACACGGUGGAUGCCCUGGCAGUCAGAGGCGAUGAAGGACGUGCUAAUCUGCGAUAAGCGUCGGUGAGGUGAUAUGAACCGUUAUAACCGGCGAUUUCCGAAUGGGGAAACCCAGUGUGUUUCGACACACUAUCAUUAACUGAAUCCAUAGGUUAAUGAGGCGAACCGGGGGAACUGAAACAUCUAAGUACCCCGAGGAAAAGAAAUCAACCGAGAUUCCCCCAGUAGCGGCGAGCGAACGGGGAGGAGCCCAGAGCCUGAAUCAGUGUGUGUGUUAGUGGAAGCGUCUGGAAAGGCGCGCGAUACAGGGUGACAGCCCCGUACACAAAAAUGCACAUGCUGUGAGCUCGAUGAGUAGGGCGGGACACGUGGUAUCCUGUCUGAAUAUGGGGGGACCAUCCUCCAAGGCUAAAUACUCCUGACUGACCGAUAGUGAACCAGUACCGUGAGGGAAAGGCGAAAAGAACCCCGGCGAGGGGAGUGAAAAAGAACCUGAAACCGUGUACGUACAAGCAGUGGGAGCCUCUUAAUGGGGUGACUGCGUACCUUUUGUAUAAUGGGUCAGCGACUUAUAUUCUGUAGCAAGGUUAACCGAAUAGGGGAGCCGAAGGGAAACCGAGUCUUAACUGGGCGUUAAGUUGCAGGGUAUAGACCCGAAACCCGGUGAUCUAGCCAUGGGCAGGUUGAAGGUUGGGUAACACUAACUGGAGGACCGAACCGACUAAUGUUGAAAAAUUAGCGGAUGACUUGUGGCUGGGGGUGAAAGGCCAAUCAAACCGGGAGAUAGCUGGUUCUCCCCGAAAGCUAUUUAGGUAGCGCCUCGUGAAUUCAUCUCCGGGGGUAGAGCACUGUUUCGGCAAGGGGGUCAUCCCGACUUACCAACCCGAUGCAAACUGCGAAUACCGGAGAAUGUUAUCACGGGAGACACACGGCGGGUGCUAACGUCCGUCGUGAAGAGGGAAACAACCCAGACCGCCAGCUAAGGUCCCAAAGUCAUGGUUAAGUGGGAAACGAUGUGGGAAGGCCCAGACAGCCAGGAUGUUGGCUUAGAAGCAGCCAUCAUUUAAAGAAAGCGUAAUAGCUCACUGGUCGAGUCGGCCUGCGCGGAAGAUGUAACGGGGCUAAACCAUGCACCGAAGCUGCGGCAGCGACGCUUAUGCGUUGUU
Molecule: ribosomal RNA, 1192 nt
Filed under: Escherichia coli
Lineage: Bacteria; Pseudomonadati; Pseudomonadota; Gammaproteobacteria; Enterobacterales; Enterobacteriaceae
Description: partial 23S ribosomal RNA
Rfam family: Bacterial large subunit ribosomal RNA
Source: RNAcentral